Astyanax mexicanus (Mexican tetra) is the source of this 1463-nucleotide long non-coding RNA. RefSeq lists it as uncharacterized. The record is from RefSeq and is a predicted model, not a curated record. The transcript is spliced from 2 exons. NCBI's taxonomy places the organism in Eukaryota, Metazoa, Chordata, Actinopteri, Characiformes, Acestrorhamphidae.
CAGAGGAACUUAACUUUUUAAUGCAUUUGUUUGUUCUGAAAUAAAUUGAUAAAAGUCAUAAAGCAGUACAGAUGCUCACAUACCCUAUAGUGUGAAGGGAUAAAAUAUGCACUUUGUAUGUGUAGCCUUGAUUUUUAGAGUGACAGUAUUCCCUGGAUGUUUAACUGUUUAAACUGUGGGUUCCCUCCCCCAAGCCAUUACAGGGAAGGUAGAAUAUCACCUCAACACCAAGUCAACCGUUUUCUUAGCGUAAGGUGUGUGUAUGUUUAUGUGAGAGAUCUUUGUGGUGUGCUUGGCCUCUUUAGCCCUGAUUAAACAGCUGUGGCGUGUUCCCCUUGGGCUGGGGGCAGGCGCAUUGACCCGGAUCGUGUCGGAAGUUCAGGAGUUGAGCUGGAUUUUAGUUGGGGCGUCAGGGGGACCCGCAGGGCGGCCAGUCUUCACUGAGGCCUAAUAACUCAUAGCAGAUGUGCUCAGCAGAGUGGAGACAUGAAUGCAAAAAGGAUCCCUGGGAAAAUGGCAGACAGGCAGGCCGGAGCACUCAGACACAAAAUCACAACCAGACCCGUCGCCAAGUGCAGAGAGAGAGCCUCCGUCCAACCUAACCCUGCCACCCAGGGAAGCCAAUGCCCAGAGAGAGAAAGCUCUGCCCUGGGGCAACACACAAACAAGCUCACACACAGCUUCCACAUGGCCCACAGAGGAAGGUCAUGGCUUUGGCAGAUUAUGAAAUGUGAUGCGUGCACUACCAUUCAGCAGUGUUGAAUUGUUUUUAUGUUUUUAAUAAAUGUUAUUUUGUUUUAAUAUAGCAGCUUGAAAAGUACAGUUUAGUGCAGUACACUAGACACCAUGUGAUGUAUUAUACCAUUUAGCAUAUCAAGUCUUGUUAAAAUGAUGAAUAAUAUAUGUAAUAUAUAACUGUCAUUUUCUCUGCCUUAAAGCAGCACUAGGUAGGAUUUUCUUGAUUUUUGAUCUUUUUAAAGUGAUAAAAAUUACAGCUUGAAACUCACUGCAGCGCUGCAUUGAGGUGUAAUAGGAGGAAUAGCGGUGCUCUCGUGCCGGAGCUCCUCUGAGCUCAAACCAGACUCUGUAAGUUUUCCGAGGCGGCCGCGACCAACGCUCACGAGAACUGCGCCCUGCUUUCCGACCUUUAGUUCUAACAGUUCUACAAGGACUACUGGUUAUUUUUUUACAAACUAACAUACAGACACUCUGGCAGAAGCUGGAAAGAGACCAAAUAUGUCUGUGAAAGCCAGAAAACUAGAAAGAGAAACUAAUCCGCCUGAAACAUUUAUUACGAUCUACAACUGUAGGGGGAGCCCACGAGCACAAAAACUCAAUCCUACCUAGUGGAGCUUUAAUAUUUGCUAUCUUGAUAAUUUGUUUUAUUGACAGCAGUCAUCUAAGACCACAGUUUGGUGAUCCCCACGAUUAAAUGCUGGUGUAUAUAAAAUUGAUCAAAUUUG